Molecule: RNase P RNA, 189 nt
Filed under: Paraburkholderia sp.
Lineage: Bacteria; Pseudomonadati; Pseudomonadota; Betaproteobacteria; Burkholderiales; Burkholderiaceae
Description: partial RNase P RNA component class A
Rfam family: Bacterial RNase P class A
About the family: Ribonuclease P (RNase P) is a ubiquitous endoribonuclease, found in archaea, bacteria and eukarya as well as chloroplasts and mitochondria. Its best characterised activity is the generation of mature 5'-ends of tRNAs by cleaving the 5'-leader elements of precursor-tRNAs. Cellular RNase Ps are ribonucleoproteins.
Source: RNAcentral
AGAGCAGGCCAGGCAGUCGCGGCUCGGAGGCUUCGGCGGGUCUGAAGCAUCGGAGGCGAGGAAAGUCCGGACUCCACAGGGCAGGGUGAUGGCUAACGGCCAUCCGUGGCGACACGCGGAACAGGGCAACAGAGAACAGACCGCCGAUGGCCCGAUUUCGGUCGGGAUCAGGUAAGGGUGAAACGGUGC